UUUUGAAGAGGGAGACCUUUGAUUAUUCCUAAGAACUACUAUCAGAAAUCUGAUGAGGAGGUGCUGAGAAGUUGUUUCACUAUAUACUGUGAGUCAUUUACAACAUAAGCUGGCAUGACUUUGUAGCCACAUAACAGAAUGGGAUCCGCAUGAGGAUAUCAGGGAAAAGGCCAUGUCUUAUGUCUGGAUCUCACAUUAUUGGAUUAAGUUUGGCUUCAACAAAGACUCUAGUGAUGAUGGCUUCAAAUUGGUUAACUUUCAAGGGUAUUUCUUCCCAGUCAUAAAUACAUUUCAAGACUCAAGGGAAGAGAAAAGGGUGAAAAUGGACAGGGCUAUCUGCUGCCAGCACGGCAGGUGCUUCUGCUCCAAUGCCAGGACUACUUGGCCAUCAGGAUGCUCCUCGGGUCACUCCAGCAGGCAUGAACGGAGGAACAACAGGCACACCAAAUGGCAGGAGGAUGUGGCUGGGUGAGUGGUUUCAGACUUUGCCUGUGCUCCUGGUCCUCAAAGCAUGUGUGUGUUGAGGGAAAGGAAAGAAGGCAUGAGGGAUGGUCUUGUACUCUGUAGUAGGCUUCUGAGUGAGGUUUUUCAAUUUGUCUCCCAAUCCGUGUUUAGAUCCAACUACAGAGUCAAGAAGCAGUAAGACCGCGUUCUAAAGAGAACUGAACACCAUGAAGUCACUCGCCCUGCUCACAGCUUACACAGAGGUGGUAGAAGUGGCCCUUCUAACACUAGCCGUGGCCUCAAACAAGACUUCUGACCCCACCACCUCCCCAGAGGGGACAGAAGGACUUUGUCAGGGCUGUGCUUUGGGGCCCAACACCCCCAGAGAAGAUGGAGCCUGGCAGUCGAGGGGGAGGAGGCAUCCCAGAGGAGUGACUCGGCUCACGGUCCCGCCCCUGCCAUGUCAGGUCCCUCCCCAUACAAAGUCUGGUGAGACGGGAAGUGGACUGAAGAGCUGGACCUGGGCUGCCUGAUGAGCCUCUGAAGCCCGGGAGGUGAGGUGAAUCGGGGCAAGGGGAGUGUGAGAGGACCAGGCCUGGCCUCGGGGGUGGGUACGCAGAAGGACCCUGUCGUGCUCCCAAGGGAUAGCGUUCCCAGCGAGACCGCGUGGAAGGUUCUAGAAAUCGCCACGGAGCAUGCGCCAACGGCGCGUAAGGCGGGCCACAGCCCGAGUUGGGACAUGCACUUCCCCGCGGAGUCUCGCUCUCGGCAGCAGCUCUGGAUUUGGGUGCGAGUGUAUGGUGUGUAGAGAAGCAGGUGGAGGGGUUGCUGAAGUAGUGACGCCUGCUGCGGGUUCAUUGUGGGUAUUAAAACUACCCUGUGUCUCAGUCGUGAACGCUAGUUCAAAAUACAUGACCGUGUAAAAUAAAGUCUCUGGGAGAAAAUAUGCCAACUUGUAAACAGUGGUUAUUUUUAGAAGACAAUUAAGAGUGAUCUUUUUAGUGUUUAAAAAAAAAAGCUGGACUGUCAUUUACUAAUCGAGAGUGAUGAGGCAGUUAUGGCUUGUAAGCUGUCGCUGAAGUGUCCAUUGCAUAGUGAGAAAAAAGAGGUUCAACAAUUGGGACCAGAGAGUGAAAGACAAACAGAACAGUUUCACGUUUUACUCCGCUGAAUUAGGAUUGUUCAAAAAUGCUUACAGUGAAUUUACUAACAGAUUAAGCACCAAGGACCUUACUUACCCCCUGAUAGUAGGCAAGCUACCCUACCCUUUCCUACAAGGGAAAAAAGCCCUGGAGAGAGGACUGUUUCCACAAAUGACUUUGGAGAACCAAAACAAAGGAAAGGGCAUGAAACUGGCCCAACCAUUUUGUGAGCAGAUGAAGUCAAAGAACUUCCACUAGAUUCUUAAGCACUUACACAUUGGAAGGAAGGAGCAAAAGGGGUCCAAUCAAGGAAAUGGCUCCAUGUGCCACGGCAUCAGGGUCCUUUCCUGAUUUAGUGGAGUGGCCAUGGCCUGCAGAUGCAGGAGAGCAUAUCCCAAGCCAAGGCUGACUGGGCAAGCGCCUCCUUGGGCCUUUGGUGUAUCACAGCAAGAGCCACAGAGGGAAGGAGACCUGGAGAGUGCACCCCAGUCUGGCUGGAGGAAAUGGAAAGCUUUCCGUCUUCAGACUCUAUAGACGCCACCUAGUGGGCAAACAACUCGUUCACACUCAGCACGCAACUGUGGCUGGCCCAGUCUCCUGUCAAUGCUUUGCCCUGGCAAAACCUAACCGGAGCCUGUGACAUGUGGUUGACAGGUUGCUGACCCCUUGCAAUCCAGAAGAGUUCCCAGAAAGGCUCUCAGUGGGGUUGAGAGCCAACAGUACACAACCAGCACAAGCGCAUGCUCUGAUGAGAAUGUCUAGAAGCAGUGACACUUCAAUAGCAAGGAACACACCCAGAGCCCGGAUCUUGGUUUUUA
Leopardus geoffroyi (Geoffroy's cat) is the source of this 2404-nucleotide long non-coding RNA. RefSeq lists it as uncharacterized. The transcript has 4 exons. Lineage: Eukaryota; Metazoa; Chordata; Mammalia; Carnivora; Felidae. The record is from RefSeq and is a predicted model, not a curated record.